Molecule: small nuclear RNA, 18 nt
Filed under: Arabidopsis thaliana (thale cress)
Lineage: Eukaryota; Viridiplantae; Streptophyta; Magnoliopsida; Brassicales; Brassicaceae
Description: snRNA_03458
Source: RNAcentral
UUCGGCGCAAGUGAAAUA